UGGGGAAUCUUGCACAAUGGGCGAAAGCCUGAUGCAGCGACGCCGCGUGGGGGAUGAAGCAUCUCGGUGUGUAAACCCCUUUCGAUUCGGACGAAUGCCCGCAAGGGAGUGACGGUACGGAUAUAAGAAGCCCCGGCUAACUACGUGCCAGCAGCCGCGGUAAGACGUAGGGGGCCAGCGUUGUUCGGAAUUACUGGGUGUAAAGGGUUCGUAGGCGGUGCGGCAAGUUGGGAGUGAAAUCUCUGGGCUUAACCCAGACGCUGCUUCCAAAACUGCUGUGCUCGAGUGUGGGAGAGGCGCGUGGAAUUGCAGGUGUAGCGGUGAAAUGCGUAGAUAUCUGCAGGAACACCCGUGGCGAAAGCGGCGCGCUGGACAACUACUGACACUGAGGAACGAAAGCUAGGGGAGCAAACAGG
This 416-nucleotide ribosomal RNA is filed under the name Bacillota bacterium. Its description in RNAcentral is "Firmicutes bacterium partial 16S ribosomal RNA". It matches the Rfam family "Bacterial small subunit ribosomal RNA", at positions 355 to 776 of the family's 1533-position model. The record is from RNAcentral. Lineage: Bacteria; Bacillati; Bacillota.